RNAcentral lists this ribosomal RNA (168 nucleotides) under uncultured bacterium. RNAcentral's name for it is "partial 16S ribosomal RNA". It matches the Rfam family "Bacterial small subunit ribosomal RNA", at positions 1334 to 1500 of the family's 1533-position model. The record is from RNAcentral.
GCUAGUAAUCGCAGAUCAGCAUGCUGCGGUGAAUACGUUCCCGGGCCUUGUACACACCGCCCGUCACACCAUGGGAAUCGGUAACACCCGAAGUCGGUAGCCUAACCGUAAGGAGGGCGCCGCCGAAGGUGGGAUUGAUGACUGGGGGUGAAGUCGUAACAAGGUAAC